GGAAUAUUGGGCAAUGGGCGAAAGCCUGACCCAGCCACGCCGCGUGCAGGAUGACACCCCUAUGGGGCGUAAACUGCUUUUAUACGAGAAGAACCCCCCGAACGUGUUCGGGGCUGACGGUACCGUAUGAAUAAGGACCGGCUACCUCCGUGCCAGCAGCCGCGGUAAUACGGGGGGUCCAAGCGUUGUCCGGCUUUAUUGGGUGUAAAGGGUGUGUAGGCGGGUUUGCAAGUCAGAGGUGAAAGCCUGCGGCUCAACCGUAGAAUUGCCUCUGAUACUGCAGGUCUUGAGUCCUGGAGAGGUUGUCGGAAUUCGUGGUGUAGCGGUGAAAUGCGUAGAUAUCACGAGGAACACCGGUUACGAAGGUGGGCAACUGGACAGGUACUGACGCUGAGGCACGAAAGCGUGGGUAGCAAAC
RNAcentral lists this ribosomal RNA (418 nucleotides) under uncultured bacterium. RNAcentral describes it as "bacterial SSU rRNA". It matches the Rfam family "Bacterial small subunit ribosomal RNA", at positions 358 to 773 of the family's 1533-position model. The record is from RNAcentral.